CACUGUCACUCCUACGGGGAGGCAGCAGUGGGGAAUAUUGCACAAUGGGCGCAAGCCUGAUGCAGCCAUGCCGCGUGUGUGAAGAAGGCCUUCGGGUUGUAAAGCACUUUCAGUAAGGAGGAAAGGUUAGUAGUUAAUACCUGCUAGCUGUGACGUUACUUACAGAAGAAGCACCGGCUAACUCCGUGCCAGCAGCCGCGGUAAUACGGAGGGUGCGAGCGUUAAUCGGAAUUACUGGGCGUAAAGCGUACGCAGGCGGUUUGUUAAGCGAGAUGUGAAAGACCCCGGGCUCAACCUGGGAACUGCAUUUCGAACUGGCAAACUAGAGUGUGAUAGAGGGUGGUAGAAUUUCAGGUGUAGCGGUGAAAUGCGUAGAGAUCUGAAGGAAUACCGAUGGCGAAGGCAGCCACCUGGGUCAACACUGACGCUCAUGUACGAAAGCGUGGGGAGCAAACGGGAUUAGAUACCCUGGUAG
This 475-nucleotide ribosomal RNA is filed under the name uncultured bacterium. RNAcentral describes it as "bacterial SSU rRNA". It matches the Rfam family "Bacterial small subunit ribosomal RNA", at positions 325 to 793 of the family's 1533-position model. The record is from RNAcentral.